UUAAGUUCAGCGGGUAUUCCUACCUGAUCCGAGGUCAACCUUCAGAAGUGUUGCGCUGGUGCGCAGCAGUUUUACGGCGUGGCCGCGCCGAGAUCCGGUGCGAGGUGUAAUUACUACGCAGAGGAUGCUACGGCGGGACCGCCACUGAUUUUCGGGGCCGGCCCCUCCUGUGACCGCACGGGGCGGGGGAGGAGCCGAUC
RNAcentral lists this unclassified non-coding RNA (200 nucleotides) under Niessliaceae sp. Its description in RNAcentral is "partial internal transcribed spacer 2". Lineage: Eukaryota; Fungi; Ascomycota; Sordariomycetes; Hypocreales; Niessliaceae. The record is from RNAcentral.